UCUCCUGUUAAAAAUUCAAAUUCCAAGCAACGCGUAAAUUUUUACCGCAAACCGAGUUUUGUAUUAGGAUCACAUGAUGUGCGAAGAGGUGGCACGCCGAAAGGUGCCACCUCCAGGUAACUCAUAUUCUCCUGUUAAAAAUUCAAAUUCCAAGCAACGCGUGAAUUUUUCCCGCAAACCGAGUUUUGUAUUAGGAUCACAUGAUGUGCGAAGAGGUGGCACGCCGAAACGUGCCACUUCCAGGUAAGUCAUUGUCUCCUGUUAGGUAUCAAUGUUUUGGCGAAACGAGAAUUUUUCCUGGAAACGGAGAUUUG
Vespula vulgaris is the source of this 314-nucleotide long non-coding RNA. RefSeq lists it as uncharacterized. The transcript is spliced from 3 exons. Lineage: Eukaryota; Metazoa; Arthropoda; Insecta; Hymenoptera; Vespidae. The record is from RefSeq and is a predicted model, not a curated record.